RNAcentral lists this long non-coding RNA (1196 nucleotides) under Stylophora pistillata. RNAcentral describes it as "uncharacterized LOC111323401, transcript variant X1". Lineage: Eukaryota; Metazoa; Cnidaria; Anthozoa; Scleractinia; Pocilloporidae. The record is from RNAcentral.
ACACCGGGGGUACGACCCCCUACAAAACCUCGAAAGUGAUUAUUAUGUUUUGAUUUCCAUAGUAUUCGCGGUAAUUUGAUGUGUUUUCGACAAAAGAAGAUGUAUGCGUGUUUCUUUUUUCUCCUAGAAACAAAAGAUAACAUCAAUACAUGCAUCCGGUGAUCAAGAAAACAAUGCAACGGAUUUUAUUUGCGUGUAAAGUUGUUUGCAAGUGCGGCGUCAAAACAGGUAGAUCGGGUUGGAGUUGGCUUAGACAAACCCAGCUGUUUUCUUUCUCGAAACAGGUGAAACCACGCAACCGGGAUCAAAUAAGAAGACCAUUAUGAAGCUAGAGGCAUGACCUACACCUCUCUAAGCUGCAACCAUUUUUGUUGCCAUAGAAAAUAAAAAUAUUUGUCACCUAAAUUCUCAAGGAAAGGUGGCAAAUUUAUGAAUAAUUUUCAGAGGUCAUGUAGUAAAUUCUAAUAGUUUCAUUCUCUUAAUGUUUAUGAUCUAGAGUAAACUGAGUGGAAUGUUUAGGUAAACAGUAAAAAUUUCUCUGUAAUUGCCUCUUUCACAUCCACUGUGUAAGUGUUGAGUUCAACUCUAAUCAUCAAUCUUUUUUUUUUUUUUUUCAUUUUCCAUUGCCAAAUGGCAACUCUGUUAGAAAAUAUCUGAGCUUGAAGCAGUGACCUUGACAUUUGGUAACCAGGAAAACUGAAAGCUUUUCUAUCCAAUUAUCAUAUACAACAAAGGAAGUUAAAAAGCAGUAAGACUUCUGUUCAAAGUAAUUUGUUAACCAAAUUAAAGGCAUCGGAAGUUACAAUGUACAGUUAUGGUACAUUCAAAGUCUUCGAUACUUUCACUUCUAAGAUCCUCAUAUCAAUUCUCCAAACUGUCAUAUAUUUUGUAAAAAUUUAGCUUGGAGAACAAUUGUAACAUCAAAUAAUGUAUUCUAUUUGAUAUUUUUCUUUCUUCUUGUCUAUUUAAUUGAAAAUAUAUUGCUAAGCUAAGGGGAGGAGAAACUUUUUGGUCACCCCUUAGGGGUGGGAAAAGUUCAUUACAAGUCUGUAGAUCAUGAACUGUUGUCAGUAGUUUACAACAGUGCAUGAGAGAAAAGCUGAUUUUAGCAUAGAUGAUGAGAAAUACACAAAAAAGUAUUGGAAAAAAUGAAGAAAGGUUCUGAAAGAGGUACAAUUAAAAAAGUUACAUCUUUG